This 406-nucleotide ribosomal RNA is filed under the name uncultured bacterium. RNAcentral's name for it is "partial 16S ribosomal RNA". It matches the Rfam family "Bacterial small subunit ribosomal RNA", at positions 30 to 526 of the family's 1533-position model. The record is from RNAcentral.
AUUGAACGCUGGCGGCAGGCCUAACACAUGCAAGUCGAACGAGUGGCGGACGUGUGAGUAAUGGAUGGGAAACUGCCCGAUGGAGGGGGAUAACUACUGGAAACGGUAGCUACUACCGCCUACCAUCGGAUGUGCCCAGGUGGGAGUAGCUAGUAGGUGGGGUAACGGCUCACCUAGGCGACGAUCCCUAGCUGGUCUGAGAGGAUGACCAGCCACACUGGAACUGAGACACGGUCCAGACUCCUACGGGAGGCAGCAGUGGGGAAUAUUGCACAAUGGGCGCAAGCCUGAUGCAGCCAUGCCGCGUGUAUGAAGAAGGCCUUCGGGUUGUAAAGUACUUUCAGCGGGGAGGCGUUACCAGCAGAAGAAGCACCGGCUAACUCCGUGCCAGCCGCCGCGGUAAUAC